Oncorhynchus keta (chum salmon) is the source of this 11090-nucleotide RNA transcript. It is a transcript of the gene named tyrosine-protein phosphatase non-receptor type 6-like, with no coding region annotated. The record is from RefSeq and is a predicted model, not a curated record. The transcript is spliced from 16 exons. NCBI's taxonomy places the organism in Eukaryota, Metazoa, Chordata, Actinopteri, Salmoniformes, Salmonidae.
UGAUCCUUCUGAAGGAGAGAGAUGUGACAUUAGAUUGAGGCAAGGAGAGAGAAAAAAUUCUAGUUUAAUUUUAAAGAUGAAUUCUAAGCGUUUUUAUUGCGUUGACAUUUAUAAUGUAUCUCUUUCUGUAAGAGAUUCCGGCCUGUCAGCUUUUUUUUGUUCCUGUCUGUCUCUUGCUUUCACUGUUUUGUGAAAAGAGACACAAAAAGGAAGGAAGGAGAGAGAGUGUCACAGAACGACAGAGAGAAAAAUCAAUAAGAGGGGAGGGAAGAAGGGUAAGACAAACACGAGCCUGUCAGCAAGAGUGUUGCUUGUUUUCAGAAGGAGCUGAGAACAAAGAAGUGAAGGUGAAAAUGGUUCGCUGGUUCCACAGGGAUAUCUCUGGCUUGGAUGCUGAGUCUGUUUUGAAGAGCCGGGGCGUCCAUGGCAGCUUCCUGGCCCGACCCAGCAGGAAGAACCAGGGAGACUUCUCUCUCUCUGUCAGGGUGGGUGAGCUGGUGACCCACAUCCGUAUCCAAAACACAGGGGACUUCUACGACCUGUAUGGAGGGGAGAAGUUUGCCACGCUGUCCGAGCUGGUGGAGUACUACACUGCAGAGAACGGGAUCCUGCAGGACAAAGACGGCACCAUCAUCGAGCUCAAAUACCCCUUCAACUGCUCUGACCCCACCACCGAGAGGUGGUAUCACGGACACCUGUCAGGCCCCAACGCAGAGAAGUUGCUAUGGGAACGGGACGAGCCGGGCACCUUCCUGGUGCGGGAGUCUCUGUCCAAACCUGGAGACUUUGUUCUGUCUGUUCUGACUGAGGAGAAGAGCAAGGCAUCCUGCGGAGGGAGGAGGGUCUCACACAUCAAGAUCAUGUGCCAGAAUGACCGGUACACGGUGGGAGGCACAGAGAUGUUUGACACCCUGGCUGACCUGAUGGAGCACUACAAACGCAAAGGCAUCGAGGAGAUGUCUGGAACCUGGGUGCACCUCAAACAGCCCUACUUUUCCACCAGAGUGAAUGCAGCAGACAUUGACAGCAGAGUGAGGCUGCUGGACCAGAUGGCCGAGAGAGAGAACGAGGGAGACAAGAAGAGCAAAGCAGGAUUCUGGGAGGAGUUUGAUGCCCUUCAAAAGCAGGAGACAAAGGUGAAGAAGAGCAGAGAAGAAGGGAUGAGACCAGAAAACAAAAGCAAAAACCGAUAUAAGAACAUCCUUCCCUUUGAUGAGACCAGGGUCAUUCUGUCAUCUGGAGACCCCAAUAUCAUUGGCUCAGAUUACAUCAAUGGCAACUAUGUGACAAAUAAGCUGCAGGAGCCCAGUGACCAGAAGGUGUACAUCGCCUGUCAGGGCUGCCUUGCAACAACUGUCAACGAUUUCUGGCAGAUGGUGUGGCAGGAGAGGACAAGGAUCAUCGUCAUGACAACCAGGGAGGUCGAGAAGGGACGGAAUAAAUGCGUGCCAUACUGGCCAGAAAUGCAGGGCUCCAAAGAGGUGGGGCCGUAUGUGGUCACUUGGGUCUCUGAGAGAGAUGCCACUGACUACAAGAUCAGGGUUAUGGAGAUCUCCCCUCUGGAUCAGUCGGACUCGGCCCGUACUAUCUGGCACUACCAGUACCUGAGCUGGCCCGACCAUGGAGUUCCCGAGGAGCCAGGAGGGGUGCUCAGCUUCCUCACUCAGGUCAACACAAAACAGGCCGAGUUCGCCAACGCCGGGCCAAUGAUCAUCCACUGCAGUGCUGGAAUAGGCCGAACUGGCACCAUUGUGGUGAUCGACAUGAUCAUCGAGACCAUCGACACGAAAGGUCUGGACUGUGACAUAGACAUCCAGAAGAGCAUUCAGAUGGUGAGAGACCAGCGGUCAGGCAUGGUGCAGACUGAAGCCCAGUACAAGUUCAUCUACCUGGCCGUCUCUGAGUACAUAGAGGCCUCCAAGACCUACAACAAGGGAGCUGAGACAGAGUAUGGAAAUUUGCAGUUCAAACACCAGCCUGCCAGCCGCAAGGUCUCCAAGUGAGUUUGUAUAGUGUGUGUCUGUGCACAUGCCAUUGGAGUUCCGUGCAUAUUCCCAUCUCUCCUCAAAACCACAUUGGGUCAACGUUCUCUGGCGCAGGCUACACAGUGUAAGAGACACACACACACAGAGAGGAGGUUAGGUAGAGAGAGACAGAAGAGAGAGAUAGUGAGAGACACACACAGAGAGAGAGGUUAGGUAGAGAGACACGGAAGAGAGAGAUAGUGAGAGACACACACACAGAGAGAGAGGUUAGGUAGAGAGACACGGAAGGGAGAUAUAGUGAGAGACACACACACAGACAGAGAGGUUAGGUAGAGAGACACGGAAGAGAGAGAUAGUGAGAGACACACACAGAGAGAGAGAGGUUAGGUAGAGAGACACGGAAGAGAGAGAUAGUGAGAGACACACACAGAGAGGAGGUUAGGUAGAGAGACACGGAAGAGAGAGAUAGUGAGAGACACACACACAGAGAGAGAGGUUAGGUAGAGAGACACGGAAGAGAGAGAUAGUGAGAGACACACACACACAGAGAGGAGGUUAGGUAGAGAGACACGGAAGAGAGAGAUAGUGAGAGACACACACAGAGAGAGAGGUUAGGUAGAGAGACACGGAAGAGAGAGAUAGUGAGAGACACACACAGAGAGGAGGUUAGGUAGAGAGACACGGAAGAGAGAGAUAGUGAGAGACACACACACAGAGAGAGAGGUUAGGUAGAGAGACAGAAGAGAGAGAUAGUGAGAGACACACACACAGAGAGAGAGGUUAGGUAGAGAGACACGGAAGAGAGAGAUAGUGAGAGACACACACACAGAGAGAGAGGUUAGGUAGAGAGACACGGAAGGGAGAUAUAGUGAGAGACACACACACAGACAGAGAGGUUAGGUAGAGAGACACGGAAGAGAGAGAUAGUGAGAGACACACACACAGAGAGAGAGGUUAGGUAGAGAGACACGGAAGAGAGAGAUAGUGAGAGACACACACACAGAGAGAGGAGGUUAGGUAGAGAGACACGGAAGAGAGAGAUAGUGAGAGACACACACAGAGAGAGAGGUUAGGUAGAGAGACACGGAAGAGAGAGAUAGUGAGAGACACACACAGAGAGGAGGUUAGGUAGAGAGACACGGAAGAGAGAGAUAGUGAGAGACACACACACAGAGAGAGAGGUUAGGUAGAGAGACACGGAAGAGAGAGAUAGUGAGAGACACACACACACAGAGAGGAGGUUAGGUAGAGAGACACGGAAGAGAGAGAUAGUGAGAGACACACACACAGAGAGAGAGGUUAGGUAGAGAGACACGGAAGAGAGAGAUAGUGAGAGACACACACAGAGAGAGAGAGGUUAGGUAGAGAGACACGGAAGAGAGAGAUAGUGAGAGACACACACACAGAGAGAGAGGUUAGGUAGAGAGACACGGAAGGGAGAUAUAGUGAGAGACACACACACAGACAGAGAGGUUAGGUAGAGAGACACGGAAGAGAGAGAUAGUGAGAGACACACACACAGAGAGAGAGGUUAGGUAGAGAGACACGGAAGAGAGAGAUAGUGAGAGACACACACACAGAGAGAGGAGGUUAGGUAGAGAGACACGGAAGAGAGAGAUAGUGAGAGACACACACAGAGAGAGAGGUUAGGUAGAGAGACACGGAAGAGAGAGAUAGUGAGAGACACACACAGAGAGGAGGUUAGGUAGAGAGACACGGAAGAGAGAGAUAGUGAGAGACACACACACAGAGAGAGAGGUUAGGUAGAGAGACACGGAAGAGAGAGAUAGUGAGAGACACACACACAGAGAGAGAGGUUAGGUAGAGAGACACGGAAGAGAGAGAGAGAGGUUAGGUAGAGAGAGACGGAAAAGAGAGAGAGGUUCGGUGGAGAGAGGAGAGAGAGAGAGAGAGAGAGAGAGAGAGAGAGAGAGAGAGAGAGAGAGAGAGAGAGAGAGAGAGAGAGAGAGAGAGAGAGAGAGAGAGAGAGAGAGAGAGAAAGAGAGAGAGUGGAUGUGGACUUUCUCACCUCUGUCUCCUAAUGAGCCUGGCUCCUAUAAGCCAUAUUGAAAAUGGGACCAUUGUUUAUCAUCGUCGUCCCCCGUGUCUCUCCAUCCCUCUCCAUCCUUCCAUCCAUCCUGGUUAUACAGCUGGCUAUAGGGAUCACCCUGGUUAUACAGCACGGUUCACCCUGCUUAUACAGCUGGCUGUAGGGAUCACCCUGGUUAUACAGCUGGCUAUAGGGAUCAGAGUUCUUCCUGGUCAGAUGACAUGGUCAGGAAAGACUCUGGGCCCUAGUAAUGAAAGAGCCCCCGAGGCACCCACCUCAUGUAUAAUCAAACCCCAGUCUCUAGUACAGUAGAGUACACCACAGUAUAACACCUGUCUCUAGUACAGUAUAGUACACCACAGUGUAACCCCUGUCUCUAGUACAGUAUAAUACACCACAGUAUAACACCCGUCACUAGUACAGUAUAAUACAACACAGUAUAACCCGUCUCUAGUACAGUAUAGUACACCACAGUAUAACACCUGUCUCUAGUACAGUAUAGUACACCACAGUGUAACCCCUGUCUCUAGUACAGUAGAGUACAACACAGUGUAACCCCUGUCUCUAGUACAGUAUAAUACACCACAGUAUAACACCUGUCUCUAGUACAGUAUAAUACACCACAGUAUAACACCUGUCUCUAGUACAGUAUAGUACACCACAGUAUAACACCUGUCUCUAGUACAGUAUAGUACACCACAGUGUAACCCCUGUCUCUAGUACAGUAGAGUACAACACAGUGUAACCCCUGUCUCUAGUACAGUAUAAUACACCACAGUAUAACACCUGUCUCUAGUACAGUAUAGUACACCACAGUAUAACACCUGUCUCUAGUACAGUAUAGUACACCACAGUAUAACACCUGUCUCUAGUACAGUAUAAUACACCACAGUGUAACCCGUCUCUAGUACAGUAUAAUACACCACAGUGCAAACCGUCUCUAGUACAGUAUAAUACACCACAGUGUAACCCCUGUCUCUAGUACAGUAUAGUACACCACAGUGUAACACCUGUCUCUAGUACAGUAUAAUAUACCACAGUGUAACCCCUGUCUCUAGUACAGUAUAGUACACCACAGUGUAACACCUGUCUCUAGUACAGUAUAAUAUACCACAGUGUAACCCCUGUCUCUAGUACAGUAUAAUAUACCACAGUGUAACCCCUGUCUCUAGUACAGUAUAAUACACCACAGUGUAACCCGUCUCUAGUACAGUAUAGUACACCACAGUGUAACACCUGUCUCUAGUACAGUAUAGUACACCACAGUGUAACCCCUGUCUCUAGUACAGUAUAAUACACCACAGUGUAACCCCUGUCUCUAGUACAGUAUAGUACACCACAGUGUAACCCCUGUCUCUAGUACAGUAUAAUACACCACAGUGUAACCCGUCUCUAGUACAGUAUAAUACACCACAGUAUAACACCUGUCUCUAGUACAGUAUAGUACACCACAGUGUAACACCUGUCUCUAGUACAGUAUAAUACACUACAGUGUAACCCCUGUCUCUAGUACAGUAUAAUACACCACAGUGUAACCCGUCUCUAGUACAGUAUAGUACACCACAGUGCAAACCGUCUCUAGUACAGUAUAAUACACCACAGUAUAACCCGUCUCUAGUACAGUAUAAUACACCACAGUGUAACCCCUGUCUCUAGUACAGUAUAGUACACCACAGUAUAACACCUGUCUCUAGUACAGUAUAGUACACCACAGUGUAACCCGUCUCUAGUACAGUAUAAUACACCACAGUAUAAAUCAAAUUUCAAAUCAAAUUUAUUUAUAUAGCCCUUCGUACAUCAGCUGAUAUCUCAAAGUGCUGUACAGAAACCCAGCCUAAAACCCCAAACAGCAAACAAUGCAGGUGUAAAAGCACGGUAUAACACCUGUCUCUAGUACAGUAUAGUACACUACAGUGUAACCCCUGUCUCUAGUACAGUAUAAUACACCACAGUGUAACACCCGUCUCUAGUACAGUAUAAUACAACACAGUAUAACCCGUCUCUAGUACAGUAUAAUACACCACAGUGUAACACCCGUCUCUAGUACAGUAUAAUAUACCACAGUGUAACACCCGUCUCUAGUACAGUAUAGUACACCACAGUAUAACCCGUCUCUAGUACAGUAUAGUACACCACAGUAUAACCCGUCUCUAGUACAGUAUAGUACACCACAGUAUAACACCUGUCUCUAGUACAGUAUAAUACACCACAGUAUAACACCUGUCUCUAGUACAGUAUAGUACACCACAGUAUAACCCGUCUCUAGUACAGUAUAAUACACCACAGUGUGAGUCUGGCACUGGCUUGACAUGGGUAGCUCACUGCCCUAAGUUGUGUUGGAAAAACUGUUGGUUGGUUCAUCCAUUUAUCUAAUUAGAGUACAGUAGAACGUCUUCCCCGCUGGCCUCUAGUGCCUGCCUGGCCAAGGCUACGGCCACUCAAACAUGUAGGUAAGCUCACAAUCCAGUAUGGUGUCGGUAAGCUCACAAUCCAGUAUGGUGUAGGUAAGCUCACAAUCCAGUAUGGUGUAGGUAAGCUCACAAUCCAGUAUGGUGUAGGUAAGCUCACAAUCCAGUAUGGUGUAGGUAAGCUCACAAUCCAGUAUGGUGUAGGUAAGCUCACAAUCCAGUAUGGUGUAGGUAAGCUCACAAUCCAGUAUGGUGUAGGUAAGCUCACAAUCCAGUAUGGUGUAGGUAAGUUCACAAUCCAGUAUGGUGUAGGUAAACUCACAAUCCAGUAUGGUGUAGGUAAGCUCACAAUCCAGUAUGGUGUAGGUAAACUCACAAUCCAGUAUGGUGUAGGUAAGCUCACAAUCCAGUAUGGUGUAGGUAAGCUCACAAUCCAGUAUGGUGUAGGUAAACUCACAAUCCAGUAUGGUGUAGGUAAGCUCACAAUCCAGUAUGGUGUAGGUAAGCUCACAAUCCAGUAUGGUGUAGGUAAGCUCACAAUCCAGUAUGGUGUAGGUAAGCUCACAAUCCAGUAUGGUGUAGGUAAACUCACAAUCCAGUAUGGCGUGGUAAGCUCACAAUCCAGUAUGGUGUGGGUAAGCUCACAAUCCACUGUGGUGUGGGUAAGUUUACAAUCCAGAAUUCACUGGAGAGCUCUGAGCUGGCUAUGUACGGUAUGAAAUGUGUCACUGUCACCACUUCUGAGUGUAUAUCUCAUAAGCUAGGCCAAACCUGUUUUUACCUGUUGUGGGGCAGUGAUGGUAUGGUCAGGGUACUGUCAGGGUAGUGUUUGGUUCUGUCAGGGUAAUGUUUGGUAGGGUCAGGGUAAUGUCAGGGUAGUGUUUGGUAGGGUCAGGGUAAUGUCAGGGUAGUGUUUGGUACUGUCAGGGUAGUGUUUGGUAGGGUCAGGGUACUGUCAGGGCACUGUUUGUUAGGGUCAGGGUAGUGUCAGGGUACUGUCAUGGUAGUGUUUGGUAGGGUCAGGGUACGGUCAGGGUACUGUCAGAGUAGUGUUUGGUACGGUCAGGAUACUGUCAGGGUACUGUUUGGUAGGGUCAGGGUAGUGUCAGGGUAGUGUCAGGGUAGUGUUUGGUAGGGUCAGGGUACUGUCAGGGUAGUAUUUGGUAUGGCCAGGGUACUGUUAGGUAAGGUCAGGGUACUGUUAGGGUAGUGUUUGGUAUGGCCAGGGUACUUUUAGGGUAGUGUUUGGUAAGGUCAGGGUACUGUCAGGGUAGUGUUUGGUACAGUCAGGGUUGUGCCAGGGUAGUGUUUGGUACUGUCAGGGUAAUGUUUGGUAGGGUCAGGGUAAUGUCAGGGUAGUGUUUGGUACUGUCAGGGUAGUGUUUGGUAGGGUCAGGGUAAUGUCAGGGUAGUGUUUGGUACUUUCAGGCUAGUGUUUGGUAUGGUCAGGGUACUGUCAGGGCACUGUUUGUUGGGGUCAGGGUAGUGUUAGGGUACUGUCAGGGUACUGUUUGGUAGGGUCAGGGUACUGUCAGUGUACUGGCAGUGUAGUGUCAGGGUAGUGUCUAGUAGGGUCAGGGUACUGACAGGGUAGUGUUUGGUAUGGCCAGAGUACUUUUAGGUAAGGUCAGGGUACUGUCAGGGUAGUGUUUGGUAGGGUCAGGGUAGUGUCAGGGUAGUGUUUGGUUCUGUCAGGGUAAUGUUUGGUAGGGUCAGGGUAAUGUCAGGGUAGUGUUUGGUAGGGUCAGGGUAAUGUCAGGGUAGUGUUUGGUACUGUCAGGCUAGUGUUUGGUAUGGUCAGGGUACUGUCAGGGCACUGUUUGUUGGGGUCAGGGUAGUGUCAGUGUACUGUCAGUGUAGUGUCAGGGUAGUGUCUGGUAGGGUCAGGGUACUGACAGGGUAGUGUUUGGUAUGGCCAGGGUACUGUCAGGGUAGUGUUUGGUAAGGUCAAGGUAGUGUUUUGCACGGUCAGGGUAGUGUCAGGGAAGUGUUUGGUACAGUCAGGGUAGUGUCAGGGUAGUGUUUGGUACGGUCAGGGUAGUGUUUGGUACGGUCAGGGUACUGUCAGGGCACUGUUUGUUAUGGUCAGGGUAGUGUUAGGGUACUGUCAGGGCAGUGUUUGGUAGGGUCAGGGUACUGACAGGGUAGUGUUUGGUACGGUCGGGGUAGUGUCAGGGUAGUGUUUGGUAGGGUCAGGGUACUGUUAGGGUAGUGUUUGGUAUGGUCAGGGUAGUGUUUGGUAUGGCCAGAGUACUGUUACGGUAGUGUUUGGUAAGGUCAAGGUAGUGUUUGGUACGGUCAGGGUAGUGUCAGGGAAGUGUUUGGUACGGUCAGGGUACUGUUAGGUAAGGUCAGGGUACUGACAGGGUAGUGUUUGGUAGGGUCGGGGUAGUGUCAGGGUAGUGUUUGGUAGGGUCAGGGUACUGUCAGUGUAGUGUUUGGUAUGGCCAGGGUAGUGUUUGGUACGGUCAGGUUAGUGUCAGGGUAGUGUUUGGUACUGUCAGGGUAGUGUUUGUUACGGUCAGGGUACUGUUAGGUAAGGUCAGGGUACUGACAGGGUAAUGUUUGGUACGGUCGGGGUAGUGUUUGGUAGGGUCAGGGUACUGUUAGGGUAGUGUUUGGUAUGGCCAGGGUAGUGUUUGGUACGGUCAGGUUAGUGUCAGGGUAGUGUUUGGUACUGUCAGGGUAGUGUUUGUUACGGUCAGGGUACUGUCAGGGUAGUGUUUGGUAGGGUCAGGGUAGUGUUUGGUAGGGUCAGGGUACUGUCAGGGUAGUGUUUGGUAGGGUCAGAGUACUGUCAGGGUAGUGUUUGGUAGGGUCAGGGUACUGUUAGGGUAGUGUUUGGUAUGGCCAGGGUAGUGUUUGGUACGGUCAGGUUAGUGUCAGGGUAGUGUUUGUUUGGUACUGUCAGGGUAGUGUUUGUUACGGUCAGGGUACUGUCAGGGUAGUGUUUGGUAGGGUCGCGGUACUGUUUGGUAGGGUUAGGAUAGGGUCCGGGUAGUGUUUGGUAGGGUCAGGGUACUGUCAGGGUAGUGUUUGGUAGGGUUAGGAUAGGGGCAGGGUAGUGUUUGGUAGGGUCAGGGUACUGUUUAGUAGUGUCAGGGUAGUGUUUGGUAGGGUUAGGGUAGGGUCAGCGUACUGUUUGGUAGGGUUAGGAUAGGGUCCGGGUAGUGUUUGGUAGGGAUAUGAUAUGCUCAGGGUAGUGUUUGGUAGGUGUUAGGAUAAGGUCAGGGUAGUGUUUGGUACAGUCAGGAUAGAGUCAGGGUAGUGUUUGGUAGGAUUAGGAUAGGGCCAGUGUAGUGUUUGGUAGGGUUAGGAUAGGGUCCGGGUAGUGUUUGGUAGGGUUAGGGUAGGGUCAGCGUACUGUUUGGUAGGGUUAGGAUAGGGUCCGGGUAGUGUUUGCUAGGGUCGCGGUACUGUUUGGUAGGGUUAGGAUAGGGUCCGGGUAGUGUUUGGUAGGGUCAGGGUACUGUCAGGGUAGUGUUUGGUAGGGUUAGGAUAGGGUCAGGGUACUGUUUGGUAGGGUCAGGGUACUGUUUGGUAGUGUCAGGGUAGUGUUUGGUAGGGUUAGGGUAGGGUCAGCGUACUGUUUGGUAGGGUUAGGAUAGGGUCAGGGUAGUGUUUGGUAGGGUUAGGAUUGGGUCAGGGUAGUGUUUGGUAGGGUUAGGAUUGGGUCAGGGUAGUGUUUGGUAGGGAUACGAUAUGCUCAGGGUAGUGUUUGGUAAGUGUUAGGAUAAGGUCAGGGUAGUGUUUGGUACGGUCAGGGUAGUGUUUGGUAUGAUUAGGAUAGGGUCAGGGUAGUGUUUGGUAGGGUUAGGAUAGGGUCAGGGUAGUGUUGGGUAGGGUAGGGUCGGGGUAGUGUUUGGUAGGGAUAUGAUAUGCUCAGGGUAGUGUUUGGUAGGUGUUAGGAUAAGGUCAGGGUAGUGUUUGGUAGGUGUUAGGAUAAGGUCAGGGUAGUGUUUGGUACAGUCAGGAUAGAGUCAGGGUAGUGUUUGGUAGGAUUAGGAUAGGGUCAGGGUAGUGUUUGGUAGGGUUAGGAUAGGGUCAGGGUAGUGUUGGGUCGGGUCGGGGUAGUGUUUGGUAUGGGUUAGGAUAGGGUCAGGGUAGUGUUGGGUAGGUUCAGGGUAGUGUUUGGUAUGGGUUAGGAUAGGGUCUGGGUAGUGUUUGGUAGGCUACUACUAAUUGAAGAUCUAAAGAGUGCUCCUUUUCUUACACACAAAGAAGCCUACAUUUUUUUUUUUUAUCUCUCAGCUAUUUGAAGCGCUAGGUUUCUAACAUUAUGUCCUCUCUCUUGUACUGUCUCUCUUUUAGAAACAAGGAACGGGAAUUGUAUGAAAACCUAGCCAAAGGAAAGAAAGAUGUGAAGAAGCAGAAAUCAGAGGAGAAGAAGAGUGGCUCUGUGAGAAAAAGAUAGAGGAUGAGAGAGCUGUAUCCUGAUGAUUUAAUAUUGAAUUUGAUAUUACAUUUUUAUUUUAAAAGAUUUAUCUUAGUGUUUUUUGAUAUCAAGUGAUAAAGUUGAUGUCUGUGAUAUAAUUGAGAUUAUAAAGCAAAGUACUGAUAGCGGUGAACCAUGGAACCAUUCUGCACCCAUGCAAAUGGUAAUGGUUUUAAAUGUUUGCUGACAAUAAAAGCUCAGAGUAAUAAGCA